Molecule: long non-coding RNA, 21889 nt
Filed under: Lathyrus oleraceus (garden pea)
Lineage: Eukaryota; Viridiplantae; Streptophyta; Magnoliopsida; Fabales; Fabaceae
Description: Pisum sativum (pea) long non-coding RNA (PSAT_LNC039459)
Source: RNAcentral
AAAUUUUGUAUAUUGUUAUCAAGAAAUGAGAAGGUUGAUAGUGUUAUUAGUGUUCUUGUUUUGCUAAAUUUUUAUUGUUAUCAAGAAAUGAGAAGAUUGAUAGUGUUAUUAGUGUUCUUAUCAAGAAACGUUUGACGCUGACCCUUUAGCAAAAUCUCUCAAAAUGAAAGGCAUGCCAUGGGGAAUUCUCCAUGGCUUCUUUCAGUCAAAAAGGAUAUGGAAGAUCACACAAGUCGAUGUAAGCCAUGACCACUGUUCGUUUGAAUUUAUGAUGGUUUUCAAAGGCCACACCAUUGCUCUUCCUAUAUUCGUACGCCAUCUUUAGGACUCUAUUAUGUGGUUAUUUCUUGCUUUUUUUCUUUAGCAUACAAUCUUAUAUUGUUAUAGAAAAAAGAAAGAUUGAUAGUGUUAUUAGUGUUCUUGUUUUCUAAAUUUUGUAUAUUGUUAUCAAGAAAUGAGAAGAUUGAUAGUGUUAUUAGUGUUCUUUUGUAAAUUUUGUAUAUUGUUAUCAAGAAAUGAGAAGAUUGAUAGUGUAUUAGUGUUCUUGUUUUGCUAAAUUUGUAUAUUGUUAUCAAGAAAGAGAAAUUGAUAGUGUUAUUAGUGUUCUUGUUUUGCUAAAUUUUGUAUAUUGUUAUCAAGAAUGAGAAGAUUGAUAGUGUUAUUAGUGUUCUUGUUUGUCUAAAUUUUGUAAUUGUUAUCAAGAAAUGAGAAGAUUGAUAGUGUUAUUAGUGUUCUUGUUUUGCUAAAUUUUGUAUUUGUUAUCAAGAAAUGAGAAGGUUGAUAGUGUUAUUAGUGUUCUUGUUUUGCUAUUUUGUAUAUUGUUAUCAAGAAAUGAGAAGAUUGAUAGUGUUAUUAGUGUUCUUAUCAAGAAACGUUUGACGCUGACCCUUUGAAAUCUCUCAAAAAUGAAAGGCAUUGCCAUGGGAAUUCUCCAUGGCUUUCUGUUCAGUCAAAAGGAUAUGGAAGAUCACAACCAAGUCGAUGUAAGCAUGACCCUGUUUUCGUUUAUUUAUGAUGGUUCAAAGGCACACCAGCUUCUAUAUUCGUACGCACAUCUUUAGGAUUAUUAGUGAGUUAUUUCUUUGCUUCUUUUUCUUAGCAUACUAAUCUGUAUAUUGUAUCAGAAAAAGAAGAUUGAUAGUGUUAUUAGUGUUUUGUUUUUCUAAAUUUUGUAUAUUGUUAUCAAGAAAUGAGAAGAUUGAUAGUGUUAUUAGUGUUCUUUUUUGCUAAAUUUUGUAUAUUGUUAUCAAGAAAUGAGAAGAUUGAUAGUGUAUUUAGUGUUCUUGUUUUGCUAAAUUUUGUAUAUUGUUAUCAAGAAAUGAGAAGAUUGAUAGUGUUAUUAGUGUUCUUGUUUUGCUAAAUUUUGUAUAUUGUUAUCAAGAAAUGAGAAGAUUGAUAGUGUUAUUAGUGUUCUUGUUUUGCUAAAUUUUAUAUUGAUACAAGAAAUGAGAAGAUUGAUAGUGUUAUUAGUGUUCUUGUUGCUAAAUUUUGUAUAUUGUUCAAGAAAUGAGAAGAUUGAUAGUGUUAUUAGUGUUUUGUUUUGCUAAAUUUUGUAUAUGUUAUCAAGAAAUGAGAUAUGAGUGUAUUAGUGUUCUUGUUUUGCUAAAUUUGUAUAUUGUUAUCAGAAAAUGAGAAGUUGAUAGUGUUAUUAGUGUUCUGUUUUGCUUAUUUUGUAUAUUGUUAUCAAGAAAUGAGAAGAUUGAUAGUGUUUAUUAGUGUUUCUUGUUAUCAAGAAACGUUUGACCGCUGACCCUUUAGCAAAAUCUCUCAAAAAUGAAAGGCAUUGCCAUGGGGAAUUCUCCAUGGCUUCUAUUCAGUAAAAUAAGGAUAUGGAAGAUUGUUAUUAGUGUUCUUGUUUUGCAAAAUUUUGUAUAUUGUUAUCAAGAAAUGAGAAGAUUGAUAGUGUUAUUAGUGUUCUUGUUUUGCUAAAUUUUGUAUAUUGUUAUCAAGAAAUGAGAAGAUUGAGAGUGGUAUUAGUGUUCUUGUUUUGCUAAAUUUUGUAUAUUGUUAUCAAGAAAUUAGAAGUUUGAUAGUGUUAUUAGUGUUCUUGUUUUGCUAAAUUUUGUAUAAUUUUAUCAAGAAAUGAGAAGAUUGAUAGUGUUAUUAGUGUUCUUGUUUUGCUAAAUUCUAUAUAUUGUUAUCAAGAAAUGAGAAGAUUGAUAGGGUUAUUAGUAUUCAUGUUUUGCUAAAUAUUGUAUAUUGUUAUCAAGAAAUGAGUAGAUUGAUAGUGUUAUUAGUGUUCUUGUUUUGCUAAAUUUUGUAUAUUGUUAUCAAGAAAUUAGAAGAUUGAUAGUGUUAUUAGUGUUCUUGUUUUGCUAAAUUUUGUAUAUUGUUAUCAAGAAAUGUGAGAAGAUUGAUAGUGUUAUUAGUGUUUCUUGUUUUUGCUAAAUUUUGUAUAUUUUAUCAAGAAAUGAGAAGAUUGAUAGUGUUAUUAGUGUUCUUGUUUUGCUAAAUUUGUAUAUUGUUUCAAGAAAUGAGAAGAUUGAUAGUGUUUAUUAGUGUUCUGUUUGCUAAAUUUUGUAUAUGUUAUCAAGAAAUGAGAAGAUUGAUAGUGUUAUUAGUGUUCUUGUUUUGCUAAAUUUUGUAUAUUGUUAUCAAGAAUGAGAAGAUGUGUGUGUUUUAUUAGUUCUUGUUUUGCUAAUUUUGUAUUGUUCAAGAAAUGGAGAAGAUGAUAGGUGUUUAUUGUGCUUCUUUUGCUAAAUUGUAUAUUGUUUCAAAAAAUGAGAAGAUGAUAGUGUUUUAUGUGUUCUUUUUUUGCUAAAUUUUGUAUAUUGUUAUCAAGAAAUGAGAAGAUUGAUAGUGUAUUAGUGUUCUUGUUUUGCUAAAUUUGUAUAUUGUUAUCAAGAAAUGGAGAAGAUUGAUAGUGUUAUUGUAGUGUUCUUGUUUUGCUAAAUUUUGUAUAUUGUUAUAAGAAAUGAGAGAGUUGAUAGUGUUAUUAGUGUUCUUUGGUUUGCUAAAUUUUGUAUAUUUGUUAUCAAGAAAUGAGAAGUAUGAGAUAGUGUUAGUUAGUGUUCUUGUUUUGCUGAAUUUUUGUAUAUUGUUAUCAAGAAAUGAGAAGAUUGAUAGUGUUAUUAGUGGUUUUCGUUUUGCUAAAUUUUGUAUAUUGUUUCAAGAAUGAGAAGAUUGAUAUGUUAUUAGUGUUCUUGUUUGCUAAAUUUGUAUAUUGUUAUCAAGAAUGAGAAGAUUGAAUAGUGUUAUUAGUGUUCUUGUUUUGCUAAAUUUUGUAUAUUGUUUAUCAAGAAAUGAGAAGUGAUAGUGUUUAUUAGUGUUCUUGUUUUGCUAAAUUUUGUAUAUUUUAUCAAGAAUGAGAAGAUUGAUAGUGUUAUUAGUGUUCUUGUUUUGCUAAAUUUUGUAUAUUGUUAUCAAGAAUAGAAGAUUGAUAGUGUUAUUAGUGUUCUUGUUUUGCUAAAUUUUGUAUAUUGUGUCAAAGAAAUGAGAAGAUUGAUAGUGUUAUUAGUGUUCUUUGUUUGCUAAAAUUUGUAUAUUGUUAUCAAGAAAUGAGAAGAUUGAUAGUGUUAUUAGUGUUCUUGUUUUGCUAAAUUUGUAUAUUGUUUAUCAAGAAAUGAGAAGAUUGAUAGUGUUAUUAGUGUUCUUGUUUUGCUAAAUUUUGUAUAUUGUUAUCUAAGAAAUGAAGAAGAUUGAUAGUGUUAUUAGUGUUCUUGUUUUGCUAAAUUUUGUAUAUUGUUAUCAAGAAUAAUGAAGUACGAUAGUGUUAUUAGUGUUCUUGUUUUGCUAAAUUUUGUAUUAUUGUUAUCAAGAAAUGAGAGAUUGAUAGCUGUAUUAGUGUUCUUGUUUUGCUAAAUUUUGUAUAUUGUUAUCAAGAAAUGAGAAGAUUGAUAGUGUUAUUAGUGUUCUUGUUUUUUUGCUAAAUUCUAUAUAUUGUUAUCAAGAAAUGAGAAGAUUGAUAGGGUUAUUAGUAUUCAUGUUUUGCUAAAUUUUGUAUAUUGUUAUCAAGAAAUGAGAAGAUUGAUAGGGUUAUUAUUGUUCUCGUUUUGCUAAAUUUUGUAUAUUCUUAUCAAGAAAUAAGAAGAUUGAUAGUGUUGUUAGUGUUCUUGUUUUGCUAAAUUUUGUAUAUUGUUAUCAAGAAAUGAGAAGCUUGAUAGUGUUAUUAGUCGUCUUGUUUUUCUAAAUUUUGUAUAUUAUUAUCAAGAAAUGAGAAGGUUGAUAGUGUUAUUAGUGUUCUUGUUUUGCUAAAUAUUGUAUAUUGUUAUCAAGAAAUGAGAAGAUUGAUAGUCUUAUUAGUGUUCUUGUUUUGCUAAAUUAUGUAUACUGUUAUCAAGAAAUGAGAAGAUUGAUAUUGUUAUUAGUGUUCUUGUUUUGCUAAAUUUUGUAUAUUGUUAUCAAGAAAUGAGAAGAUUGAUAGUGUUAUUAGUGUUCUUGUUUUGCUAAAUUUUGUAUAUUGUUAUCAAGAAAUGAGAAGAUUGAUAGUGUUAUUUGUGUUCUUGUUUUGCUAAAUUUUGUAUAUUGUUAUCAAGAAAUGAGAAGAUUAAUAGUGUUAUUAGUGUUCUUGUUUUGCUAAAUUUUAUAUAUUGUUAUCAAGAAAUAGGAAGGUUGAUAGUGUUAAUAGUUUUCUUGUUUUGCUUAAUUUUGUAUAUUGUUGUCAAGAAAUGAGAAGAUGAUAGUGUUAUUAGUGUUCUUGUUAUCAAGAAACGUUUGAAGCUGACCCUUUAGCAAAAUCUCUCAAAAAUGAAAGGCAUUGCCAUGGGGAAUUCUCGAUGGCUUCUAUUCAGUCAAAUAAGGAUAUGGAAGAUCACAACCAAGUCGAUGUAAGUCAUGACGUGAGUUAUUUCUUUGCUUCUUUUUUCUUAGCAUACUACUCUGUAUAUUAUUAUCAAGAAAUGAGAAGAUUGAUAGUGUUAUUAGUGUUCUUGUUUUGCUAAAUUUUGUAUAUUGUUAUCAAGAAAUGAGAAGAUUGAUAUUGUUAUUAGUGUUCUUGUUUUGCUAUAUUUUGUAUAUUGUUAUAAAGAAAUGAGAAGAUUGAUAGUGUUAUUAGUGUUCUUGUUUUGCUAAAUUUUGUAUAUUGUUAUCAAGAAAUGAGAAGAUUGGUAGUGUUAUUAGUGUUCUUGUUUUGCUAAAUUNNNNNNNNNNNNNNNNNNNUGCAAGAGGAAAUUUCUUUCUCUUGAAAAAUGCAAGGCUUGCCAUGUACUGUGCGAAUCCCAUAGAGCUUCCUCCUAGUUUUCAGUCCAGAAACUCUUAAGUUGGGAUAUGGAAGAUCACAACCAAGUCGAUGUAACUCAUACGCACUGUCGUUGAUUAUGAUGGAUUCAAAGGCCACACCACUGCUUUCUAAUCCGUACGUCAACAUCUUUGAGGACGUCUAUUACGUGAGUUAUUCUUUGCUUCCCCUUUUUCUUAGCAUACUUAUCUAUAUAUUUUUUAUCAAAGGAUAAUAGUAAGAUUGAUAGUGUUAUAGUGUCGAUUGUUUUGCCUAAUUGUUGCGUAUAUGUAUCCAUACUCCAAAGAGAAGAUUGUAAUAUUAGUUAGUGUUCGUGUCUUUUGCUAAAAUUUUAUUUAUCAAGAAACGAGAGAGGAUUGAUAGUGCUGAUUUUAGUAGUUUCUUGUUUACGUAAAAUUGUAGACUUAUUUCAAGAAAUGAGAAAGAUUGAUAAAUGUUAUUAGUUUUGCUUGUUUUGCUUAAAUUUGCUGAUGUUAUCAAGAAAUAUAGAUGAUAGUGUUAUUAGUGUGCUUGUUUUUCUAAAUUUGUAUAUUUAUUCAAGAAAUGAGAAGGUUGAUAAGUAUUUAAGUUUCUUGUGUUGCUAAAUUUUUAUAUUGUUUUUAGCAAAGGAAAUUGAGAAGGUUGAUAGUGUUAUUAGUAUUCUUGUUUUGCUACAAUUUUGUUAUUGUUACUCAAGAAAUGAGAAGAUGAUAGUGUUAUUUAGUGAUUCUUGGGGUUUACAAAGGAAACGUUGACGUCUGACCUAUGCUCUCAUUAAAAUUCUCUGGGAAAAAUGAACAGCAUUGCCUAGAGAAGUUUCCAUGCUGCUCUUCAGUCAAAUAAGGGAUAUGGAAGAUUCACAACCAAGCGAGUAUAGCCAUGAGCGCUACUAAUUUCGUUGGAAAUUAUGAUGGCUUCAGAACGCCACACGCUGUCUUCCUUUUUAUCCGUGACGCACAUCUUUAGGACCUUCUAUUCGGGGAGUUAGUGUCUUUGCUUUCUUUUUUCUUAGGCUAUACUUUAUCUGUAGGUAUUGUUCAUUCCAAUAUUAAGCUAGAUUUUGAGAUAGUGUGGUUUAGUGUUCUUGUUUUGCUAAAUUAUAUAUUGUUAUCAAGUAAAUGAGAGAGUGGAUAAGUGUUAUUGGUGGUUUCUUGUUUUGCUAAAUGUGUGGUAUAUUGUAUCAAGAAAUGUAGAAGAUUUGAAGUGUUAUUUGUGUUCUUGUUGUGACUAAAUCUACUAAACAAUUUGUCUUAUUGUUAUCAAGAAGAUGAGAAGAUUGAUAGUGUUAUUAAUGUUGUGAGUUGCUAAAUUUGGCUUUUGUUACUCAAGAAAUCGAGAAAGAUUGAUAGUCGUUAUUAGUGUUCUUGUUGCUAAAUUUUGUAUAUUUUACCCAAAGAAAUGAUGAAGAUUGAUAGUUGUUAUUAGUGGUUCUUGUUUUGCUAAAUUGGUAUAUUGUUAUCAGAAAUCGAAGAAGGAUUUAUAGUGUUAUUAGUGUUCUUGUUUUGCGUUAAAUUGUAUAUUAUUAUCAAGAAAUGAGAAGGUUGAUAGUCGGGUAGUUAGUGUCUCUCUCGUUUUGCUAAAUUUUGUUAUGUUAUCAAGGAAAUGAGAAGAUUGAUAGUGUUAUUAGUGUUCUUUUAUUAUUUCAAGAAACGUUUCGAAGCUGACCCUUGAUAGCGAAAUCUCUCAAAAGAAAGCAUGCACAUAAAGGACGAAAUUCUCCAAUUGGCUUUGCUAGUCAUCAAAAAGGAAUGGAAGACACAACCAAAGUGGCUAUGUAAGUCAUGACGCACUGUUCGUUUGAAUUUAGUGUAUGGCUUCACAAGGCCACACCCCGAACGCUUCCUGAUAUUGCGGUACGGCCACAUCUUUAGGACUCUAUUACGUCGAGUUAUUUCUUUGCUUCUUUGGUUUCUUAGCAGACUAACUACUGAUCUAUUGUUAUCAAGAAAUGAGAAAAAGAUAUGAUAGUGUUAGUAGUGUCAAUGUGUUUCGCUAAAUUUUGUAUAUUGUUAUCAGAAAUGAGAAGGAGUUUCUAGUGUUCAUCUAAGCUGUUCUUGUUUUUUCUGUAAUUAGUUAUAUUGUGUAUCAAGAAAUGAGACGAUUGAUUAGUUGAUUACCGUGUUCUUAUUAUUGCCUAAAUUUUGUAUAUUGUUUCAAGAACAUAGAAGAUUGAUAAUUUAUAGUGUUUUCUCUGUUUGCUAAUUUGUAUACGUAUAUUCAAUGAAUAGGAAGGAUUGAUAGUGUUAUUAGUGUUCUUGUUUGCUAAACUUUCGUGUAUAUUGUAUAUCCAAGCAAAUGAGAAUGAUUAUAGUUGUUAUUAGUGUUCUUGUUUUGCGCUAAAUUUGUAUAUGUUAUCAAGAAAUGAGAAGAUUGAUAUGUGUUAUUAUGUUGUUCUUGUUUUGCUAAAUUACUGUAUAUUGUAUCAAAAAAUGAGAAGAUUUGAUAGCUAGUUAUUGUGUUCUUUCUCGUGUUUUGCUAAAUUUGUAUAUAUGUUAUCAAGAAAUAGGAAGUUGAUAGUGUUAUUAGCUGUUCUUGGUUUUUAUAAAUUAUUGUAUAUUUAUGUAAGAAAUGAGAAGAUUGAUAUGUUAUUAGUGUUCUUGUCUUUUUUGCUAAAUUUGAUAUUGUAUCAAGAAAUGGAGAACUGAUUGAUAGUGUUUAGUGUUUAGUCAUUGUUUUGCUAAUAUGUAUACUUUGUAUCAAGAAAUGAGAGAUUGAUAGUUGAUAGGUGUUCUUGUUUUAGCUAAUAUUGUAUAUUGUUAUCAAGAAAUGAGAAGCAUUGAUAGUGUUAUUAGUGUUCUUGCUUUUGCCUAAAUUGUAUAUUGUUAUCAAGAAAUGAGAAGAUGGAUGAUAGUGUUAUUAGUGUUCUAUUUUUUGCUAAAUUUUCGCUAUAUUGAUUAUCAAGAAAUGAGAAGAUUGAUAGUGAUUUAGUGUUCUUCUUUUGCUAAAUUUUGUUAUAUUGUUUAUUAUCAAAAAGUGAGAAGAGUGAUAGAUUAGUUGUCGUUCUUGUUUUGCUUAAUUGGUAUAUUGUUAUCAAGAAAUAGAGAAGAUUGAUUAGUGUUAUUAGUGGUUUCUUGUUUUGCUAAAUUUGUAUAUUGUGUAUCAAGAAAUUGAGAGAUUGAUAGUGUAUUAGUGUUCUGUUUUGCUAAAUUUGCGUAUAUUGUUAGCAAGAAGUGAGCAAGGAUUUACUAGUGUUAUUAGGUUUCUUGUUAUUGCUAAAUUUUUGUAUAAUUAUUAAUCAAGAGAAUCGAGAAGGUUGAUAGUGGAUUAGUGCUUUCUUUUUUGCCUUAAAUUUUGUAUAUGCUUAUCUUAAUGAGAAUGAGAAGAUUGAGUGUGAUAAGUGAUUUCUAUGUUUUGCUAAUAUUUCCGUAAUAUUUUUAUCAAGAAAUGUAGAAGAUUUGAUAGUUGUAUAGAUGCCUUCUGUGUGUGCUCUAAAUUUGUAUAUUGUUACAAGAGAGAGAACAAGAUUGAUAGUGUUAUGGUGGGGUAGUGUUCUUGUUUGCUAUAAUUUGGCUAUAUUGUUAUCAAGAAAUAGAAAUUUAGAGGUAUUAGUGUUCUCGUUUUUGCAAAUUUUGUAUAUUAUUAUCAGAAUGAGAAGGUUGAUAGUGUUAUUAGUGUUCGUGUUUUGCUAAAUUUUGUUAUUGUUAUCAAGAAAUGAGAGAAUUGAUAGUGUUAUUAGUGUGCUAUAUCAAGAAACGUUUGACGACUGACCCUUUAGCAAAAAUCUGCUCAAAAAGUUGAAAGGCCCAUUGAUAGGGAAUUCUCCAGUGGCAUUCUAUCACCCCAAAUCAAGGAUAUGAAGCAUCAAAGCAGAACCAAGUCUUAUGUAAGCUAUGACGCACUGUUCGUUUGAAAUUUAUUGAUGGUCUUCAAAGGCCACACAGACUGCUUCCUAUAUUCGUAGCACAUCUUUAGGACACCUCCUAUACGUGGAGUUAUUUUCUUUGUUCUUUUUUCUCCUUUAGCAUACUAAUAUGUAACGGUUAGCAAAGAAUAGAGAAAGAAUUGAUAGUGUUAUUAGUGUUCUUUCUGCCCUAAUUGUAAUGUGUUAGUCAGAAAUGAGAAGAUUGUAGUGUUAUAGUUGUUCUCUCUUGCUAAAUUGGUAUAUUUUAUCAGAAAUGAGAAGAUUUAUAGUGUAUCUCCUGCUCUUGUUGUGCUAAUUCUCGUAUAUUAUUAUCAUAGUAAAUGAGGAAGCGUUGAUAGUGUAUUAGUCGUUCUUGUUAUGGCAUAAAAUAUUUAUUCUCUUGUAUAUUGUAGUUCAAGAAAAUGAGAGAUUGAGUGGUUAAUAAUUGUUCUUGUUAUUGCUAAAUUUGGAUAUUGUUUCAAGAAAUGAGAAGAUUGAUAGUCGUUAUUAGUGUUCUUGUUUUGCUAAAUUUUGUAUAUUGUUUACCCAGAAGAGAGAGCAUGUUGAUAGUGUUAUUAGUGUGCCUUUGCUAUUGUAUAUUGGUAUCAAGAAAUGAGAAGAUUGUUAUAGUGUUAUUAGUGUUUCGUUUUUGCUAAAUUUGUAUGAUUAUUUAUCAAGAAAUGAGAGGUUAUGUAGUUUAUUAGAUGUUCUUGUUUUGCAAAUUUGUAUAUUGUAUCAAGAACAUGAGAAGGAUGGGAUAGUGUUAUUUAAGUGUUCUGAUUAUCAAGAAAACGUUUGACGCUUGACCCUUAGCAAAAUCCUCAAAAUAUGAAAGGCAUUUGGCCAGUCGGAAUCUCAUGGCUUCUAUUCAGUCAAAUAAGGAAUAUGGAAGAUUCAGCACACCUAAGUCUUGUCCAAGUCAUGAACGCACUGUGUCGUGUUGAAGUGAGGAGAUGGCUUCAGAAGCGCCACACACUGCUUCCUAUGAUUCGUACGCACAUCUGUGGACUCUAUUGGUACGUGAGUUAUUUCUUUGCUUCUUUUUUCUAGCAUACUAAUAUGUAUAUGUUUAUCAAGAAUGAGAAGAUGAUCAGUUGUUAUUAGUGUUCUUGUUUGCUAAAUUUUUGUAUAUUAGGUUAUCAAGAAAUGAGAAAGAUGAUAUGUAAAGAUGUUCUUGCUUUGCUAAGUUUUGUAUUUUUAUCAAGAAUGAAGACGAUUGAUAGUUGUGAUUAGUGUUCUUAUUUUGCCUCAACAUUUCGCUCCUCCUUGUUAACAGAAAAGGAUGAUUGAUGAGAUGUUAGAGUGUUCCUUGUUUUGCCUAAAUUUUGUAUAUCGUAUCAAUAAAUGAGGAAGAUUGAUAGUGUUUUAUUAGUGUUCUUGUUUGUGUAAAUUUUGUAUAUUGAUAUCAAAGAAAAUGGAGAAGAUGAUAGUGGUUAUUAGUUUCUUGUUUUGCCCUUAAUUUUGUAUAUUGUUAUCAAGAAAAUGAGAAGAAUUGAUAGUGUUAUUUGUGUUCUUGUUUUGCUAAAUUUUUAGUAUAUUGUUAUCAAAAAAUCAGAAGAUGAUAGUCGUUAUUAUGUUCUUGUUUGCUAAAUUUUGUAUAUUGUUAUCAAAGAAAAUAGAAGGUUGAUAUUAUUAGUUUUCUGUUUUGUUUAAUUUUGUAUAUUGUUUAUCAAGAAAUGAGAAGAUAAGAUUGAUAGUGUUAUUUGUGUUCUUGUUUUGCUAAAUUUUGUAUAUUGUUAUCAAGAAAUGAGAAGAUUAAUGGUGUUAUUAGUGUUCUUGUUUUGCUAAAUUUUAUAUAUUGUUAUCAAGAAAUAGGAAGUUUGAAAGUGUUAAUAGUUUUCUUGUUUUGCUAAAUAUUGUAUAUUGUUAUCAAGAAAUGAGAAGAUUGAUAGUGUUAUUAGUGUUCUUGUUUUGCUAAAUUAUGUAUAUUGUUAUCAAGAAAUGAGAAUAUUGAUAUUGUUAUUAGUGUUCUUGUUUUGAUAUAUUUUGUAUAUUGUUAUAAAGAAAUGAGAAGAUUGAUAGUGUUAUUAGUGUUCUUGUUUUGCUAAAUUUGGUAUAUUGUUAUCAAGAAAUGAGAAGAUUGGUAGUGUUAUUAGUGUUCUUGUUUUGCUAAAUUUUGUUUAUUGUUAUCAAAAAAUGAGAAGAUUGAUAGUGUUAUUAGUGUUCUUGUUUUGCUAAUAUUUGUAUAUUGUUGUCAAGAAAUUAGAAGAUUGAUAGUGUUAUUAGUGUUCUUGUUUUGCUAAAUUUUGUAUAUUGUUAUCAAGAAAUGAGAAGAUUGAUAGUGUUAUUAGUGUUCUUGUUUUUCUAAAUNNNNNNNNNNNNNNNNNNNNNNNNNNNNNNNNNNNNNNNNNNNNNNNNNNNNNNNNNNNNNNNNNNNNNNNNNNNNNNNNNNNNNNNNNNNNNNNNNNNNNNNNNNNNNNNNNNNNNNNNNNNNNNNNNNNNNNNNNNNNNNNNNNNNNNNNNNNNNNNNNNNNNNNNNNNNNNNNNNNNNNNNNNNNNNNNNNNNNNNNNNNNNNNNNNNNNNNNNNNNNNNNNNNNNNNNNNNNNNNNNNNNNNNNNNNNNNNNNNNNNNNNNNNNNNNNNNNNNNNNNNNNNNNNNNNNNNNNNNNNNNNNNNNNNNNNNNNNNNNNNNNNNNNNNNNNNNNNNNNNNNNNNNNNNNNNNNNNNNNNNNNNNNNNNNNNNNNNNNNNNNNNNNNNNNNNNNNNNNNNNNNNNNNNNNNNNNNNNNNNNNNNNNNNNNNNNNNNNNNNNNNNNNNNNNNNNNNNNNNNNNNNNNNNNNNNNNNNNNNNNNNNNNNNNNNNNNNNNNNNNNNNNNNNNNNNNNNNNNNNNNNNNNNNNNNNNNNNNNNNNNNNNNNNNNNNNNNNNNNNNNNNNNNNNNNNNNNNNNNNNNNNNNNNNNNNUGUUCUUGAGAUUUACCUGUAUAUUGUUAAUGAAGAAAUGAAGAAGAUUGAUUUAGUGUUAUUAGUGUCUUGUUUUGCUAAAUUUUGUAUAUUGUUAUCAAGAAUGAGAAGAUUGAUAGUGUUUAUUAGUGGUUCUUGUUUUGCUAAAUUUUGUAUAUUGUUAUCAAGAAAUGAGAAGAUUGAUAGUGUUUAUUAGUGUUCUUGUUUUGCUAAAUUUUGUAAUUUUGUUAUCAAGAAAAUGAGAAAGGUAGAUGUUAUUAAGUGUCUUGUUUUGGCUAAUUUUGUAUAUUGUUAUCUAAGAAAUGAGAAGAUUGAUAGUGUUAUUAGUGUUCUUGUUUUGCUAAAUUUGUAUAUUGUUAUCAAAGAAAUGAGAAAGAUUGAAUAGUGUUAUUAGUGUUCUUGUUUUGGCUAAUUUUGUAUAUUUGUUAUCAAGAAAUAGAAGAUUGAUAGUGUUAUUAGUGUUCUUUUUGCUAAAUUUUGUAUAUUGUUAUCAAGAAAUGAGAAGAUUGAUAGUGUUAUUAGUGUUCUUGUUUGCUAAAUUUUGUAUAUUGUUAUCAAGAAAUGAGAAAGAUUGAUAGUGUUAUUAGUGUUCUUGUUUUGCUAAAUUUUGUAUAUUGUUAUCAAGAAAUGAGAAGAUUGAUAUGUGUUAUUAGUGUUCUUGUUUUGCUAAAUUUUUGUAUAUUGUUAUCAAGAAAUAGAGAAGAUUGAUAGUGUUAUUAGUGUUCUGUUUUGCUAAAUUUUGUAUAUUGUUAUCAAGAAAUGAGAAGAUUGAUAGUGUUAUUAGUGUUCUUGUUUUGCUAAAUUUUGUAUAUUGUUAUCAAGAAAUUGAGAAAGAUUGAUAGUGUUAUUAGUGUUCUUGUUUUGCUAAUUUUUUGUAUAAAUUGUUAUCAGAGAAAUGAGAAGAUUGAAGUGUUACUAUAGUGUUCUUGUUAUCAAAACAUUAACAGCUGACAAUCCCUUUACCAAAUCUCCCAAAUGAAAGGCAUUGCGCAUGGGAAUUCUCCAUAGCUCUGUUAGUGCAGAAUAUGGGAUAAUGUGGUAUAGAUACACAAACUAGGACGGAUGUAGCCAUGACGCACUGUAUCGUUCGGGAAUUUAUGAUGGCUCUCAAAGGCCACACCGCCGCUGGCUUCCUAUAUCCCGUACGCACAUCUUAGGACGCGGGUAUUACGUGAUUUAUUUUUUUGCUCUUUAACCACUUACCUGUAUACUUGUUAUGAGAAAUGAAAGGAUUUAUAGUGUUAUUAGUGGUUCUGUAAAUUGCGCUAAAUUUGUAAUAAUGUCUAAAGAAAAUGAGAAGAAUCUGAUAGUUUAUUAGUGUUCUUGUUUGCUAAAUUUGGUAUAUGUGUCAGAAAUAAGGAAGAUUGAUAUGUUGUAGUGUUCUGUUUUGCUAAAUUGUAUAGUUAUCACAGAAAUGAGAAAGAUUGAUACUUAUUAUUUCUUUUUUGCCAAAUUGUAUAUUAUAAAAUGAGAAAUGAUGGUAUAUUAUUGUGUUGUUGUUUUGCUAAAUUUUGUACUAUCUAGUUAUCAUGAAAUUAGAGAUUAUAUAGGUCGUUGGAAUUGUAAUUUCUGUCUAUGUUAAUCUUUUGCUAAAUUGUAUAUUGUUAUCAAGAAAUGAAAAUGAUUUUAUUUUUUGUGUUCUAAUUUGGUUAUGGCUGAAAUAAGUGAUAUUAUUGUGUUGUCAAAAAUGAUAUCUGACAAUAAAUGAUAGAUUAAAUGUCUGUGUUUUGCUAAAUUUGUAUACAUGUUAUCCUAAAAAUGAGAACAUGGAUAAGUGUUACAUAGUGUUCUUACGUUUGUUGGAAAUUUGUAUAUUGUUAUCAGAAUGGAAGAAUUGAAUAGUGUUAUUAGUGUUCUUGUUUUGCCUAAUUUUUGUAUAUUUUACAAGAAAUGAGAAAUGAUAGUGUAUUAGUGUUCUUGUGGUUUGCUAAUUUGUCAUAAUGUUAAUCCAGAAAGAGAAAUCUGAUCAUGUAUAUAGUUCUUGUUUGGCUACAAAUUUGUUAUUAUUAUCAAGAAAAGAAUAGUUAUAGUUUCUUUGUUUUGCUAAAUUUGUAAUAUUUUGUCAAGAAAAUAAAAUUGAUAGUUAUUAGUGCUUGUUGCAAACUUUAUAAUUGUUAUCAAGAAUGCAAAAGAUCGGAUAGCUGUUAUAGUUUCUUGUGUUUGCUAAUAUUUGUAUAUUCUUUACAGGAAAUAGAAGAUAGAUAUGGUUAUAGUUCUUGUUUGCUAAAUUGUGCUAUAUGAUUAUCAAGAAAUGAAAAAAACUUGGAUAGUGUUAUAUAUGUUUCUGUUUUUGCUAAAUUUAAGUUAUUGUUACCAAGAAGAGAAGAUUUGAUAGUGUUAUUAGUCGUUCUGUUUUGCUAUUUGUAUGAUGGUUUGCAAGAAAUAGCAAGAUUGGAUAGUGUUAUAGUGUCUUCGUUUGCUAAAUUAGUCAUAUUGUUCAAAGAAAUGAGAAAUUGAAGUAUGUCGGUUCAAAUGUAUUUAUAAGAGAUGUUGUACCUGCUUUUGCUAAAUUGUUGUAUAAUUGUAUCAAUGAAAAAAGAUGAAAUGUUGAUUAGUGUCUCUUGUUUUGCUAAAUAUUGUAUAUUGUUAUCAAGAAAGAAGAGAUUGAUAUGUUGUUAGGUUCUUAGUUUUGCUAAUUUUGUUAUCAUGUUUAUAAAGAAAUGAGAAGAUUGAUAGUUUAUUAAGUGUUCUUGUUCGUAAAUUUGUAAUUUAUUUCAAGAAAUGAGAAAGUGAUAGUGUUAUUAGUGUUCUGUUUGCCUAAAUUUUGUAUAUUGUUAUCAAGUAAAAAUGAGAAGAUUGAUAUUAAUUAGUUUAUUGUUUGCUAAAUUUGUAUAUUGUUAUCAAGAAAUCAGAAGAUGAUUAGUGUUAUUAGUGAUCUUUGUUUCCCUAAAUUUUGUAAUAUCUUAUCAAGAAAUGAGAAAUGAAUGUUUAUAGUGUCUUGUUUGCUAAAUUUUAUAUAUUUUAUCAAGAAAUAGAAGAUGAAGUGUUAAUUAGUGUUCUUGUUUUGCUAAAUUUUGAUUAUAUUUGUCAAGAAAUGAGAAGAUUGAUAAAUGUUAUUAGUGUUCUUGUUUGCUAAAAUUUUGUAUAUUGUUAUCAAGAAAUGAGAAGAUGAUAGUGUAUAUAGUGUUUCUUUUGUUUUGCUAAAUUUUGUAUAUGUAUACAAAAAUUAGAAGAUCGAUAGUGUUAUUAGUGUUCCUUGUUUUGCUAAAUUUUGUAUAUUGUUAUCUCAAAGAAAUGAGAAGAUUGAUAGUGUUAUUAGUGUUCUUGUUUUGCUAAAUUUUGUAUAUUGUUAUCAAGAAAUGAAGAAGAUUGAUAGUGUUAUUAGUGUUCUUGUUUUGCUAAAUUUUGUAUAUUGUUAUCAAGAAAUGAGAAGAUUGAUAUGUUAUUAGUGUUUGUUUUUGCUAAAUUUGUAUAUUGUUAUCAAGAAAUAGAAGAUUGAUAGUGUUAUUAGUGUUCUUGUUUGCUAAAUUUUGUAUAUUGUUAUCAAGAAAUGAAGAGAUUGAUAGUGUUAUUAGUGUUCUUGUUUUGCUAAAAUUUUGUAUAUUGUUAUCAAGAAAUGAGAAGAUUGAUAGUGUUAUUAGUGUUCUUGUUUUGCUAAUUUUGUAUAUUGUUAUCAAAGAAAUGAGAAGAUUGAUAUGUUUUAGUGUCUUCGUUUUGCUAAAUUUUUGUAUAUUGUAUCAAAGAAAUGAGAAGAUUGAUAGUGUUAUUAGUGUUCUUGUUUGCUAAAUUUUGUAUAUUGUUAUCAAGAAAUGAGAAGAUGAUAGUGUUAUUAGUGUUUCUUGUUUUGCUAAAUUUUUGUAUAUUUUUAUCAAGAAAUGAGAGAUUGAUAGUGUUAUUAGUGUUUGUUUUGCUAAUUUGUAUAUUGUUAUCAGAAAUGAGAAGAUUGAUAGUGUUAUUUAGUGUUCUUGUUUUCCUAAAUUUUGUAUAUUUUAUCAAGAAAUGAGAAGAUUGAUAGUGUUAUUAGUGUUCUUGUUUGCUAAAUUUUAUAUUGUUAUCAAGAAAUGAGAAGAUUGAUAGUGUUAUUAGUGUUCUUGUUUUGCUAAAUUUUGUAUAUUGUUUUCAAGAAAUGAGAAGAUUGAUAGUGUUAUUAGUGUUCUUGUUUUGCUAAAUUUUGUAUUAUUGUUAUCAAGAAAAUGAGAGAUGAUAUGUAUUAGUGUUCUUGUUUUGCUAAAUUUGUAUAUUGUUAUCAAAGAAAUGAGAAGAUUGGAUAGUGUUAUUAGUGUUCUUGUUUUGCUAAAUUUUGUAUAUUGUUUCAAGAAAUGAGAAGAUUGAUAGUGUUAUUAGUGUUCUUGUUUUGCUAAAUUUUGUAUAUUGUUAUCAAAGAAAUGAGAAGAUUGAUAGUGUUAUAGUGUUCUUGUUUUGCUAAAUUUUGUAUAUUGUUAUCAAGAAAUGAGAAGAUUGAUAGUGUUAUUAGUGCUUGUUUUGCCUAAAUUUUGUAUAUUGUUAUCAAGAAAUGAGAAGAUUGAUAGUGUUAUUAGUGUUCUUGUUUUGCUAAAUUUUGUAUAUUGUUAUCAGAAAUGAGAAGAUUUGAUAGUGUUAUUAGUGUUCUUGUUUUGCUAAAUUUUAUAUUGUUAUCAAGAAAUGAGAAGAUUGAUAGUGUUAUUAGUGUUCUUGUUUUGCUAAAUUUGUAUAUUGUUAUCAAGAAAUGAGAAGAUUGAUAGUGUUAUUAGUGUUCUUGUUUUGCUAAAUUUUGUAUAUUGUUAUCAAGAAUGAGAAGAUUGAUAGUGUUAUUAGUGUUCUGUUUUGCUAAAUUUUGUAUAUUGUUAUCAAAGAAAUGAGAAGAUUGAUAGUGUUAUUAGUGUUCUUGUUUUGCUAAAAUUUAGUAUAUUGUGUAUCAAUAAGAAUGAGAAGAUUGAUAGUGUUAUGAUGUUCUUGUUUGCUAAAUUUUGUAUAUUGUUAUAGAAAUGAGAAGAUUGAUAGUGUAUUAGUGUUCUUGUUUUGCUAAAUUUUGUAUAUUGUUAUCAAGAAAUGAGAAGGUUGAUAGUGUUAUUAGUGUUCUUGUUUUUGCUAAUUUUGUAUAUUGUUAAUGCAAGAAAUGAGAAGAUUGAUAGUGUUAUUAGUGUUCUUUUGUCUUGAAUAUUUUUAUUUGUUACAAGAAAUUGAGAGAUUGAUAGUGUUUAUUUUGUGUUUCUUGUAUCAAGAAACGUUGGACGCUGACCCUUUAGCAAAUCUCUCAAAAAUGAAAGCUUUGCUAAUUUUGUAUAUUGUUAUCAAGAAAUGAGAAGAUUGAUAGUGUUUUUAGUGUUCUUGUUUUGCUAAAUUUUGUAUAUUGUUAUCAAGAAAUAAGGAGAUUGAUAAUGUUGUUAGUGUUCUUAUUUUGCUAAAUUUUGUAUAUUGUUAUCAAGAAAUGAGAAGAUUGAUAGUGUUAUUAGUGUUCUUGUGUUGCUAAAUUUGUAUAUUGUUAUCAAGAAAUGAGAAGAUUGAUAGUGUUAUUAGUGUUGUUGUUUUGCUAAAUUUUGUAUAUUGUUAUCUAGAAAAUAGAAGAUUGAUAGUGUUAUUACUGUUCUUGUUUUGCUAAUUUUGUAUAUUGUUAUCAAGAAAUGAGAAGAUUGAUAGUGUUAUUAGUGUUCUUGUUUCGCUAAAUUUUGUAUAUUGUUGACCAGAAAUGAGAAGAUUGAUAGUGUUAUUAGUGUUCUUGUUUUGCUAAAUUUUGUAUAUUGUUAUCAAAAAAUGAGAAGAUUGAUAGUGUUACUAGUGUGCUUGUUUUGCUAAAUUUUGUAUAUUGUUAUCAAGAAAUGAGAAGAUUGAUAGUGUUAUUAGUGUUCUUGUUUUACUAAAUUUUGUAUAUUGUUAUCAAGAAAUGAGAAGAUUGAUAGUGUUAUUUAUCACGAAUAUGAGACGGAUUGAUAGUGUUAUUAGUGUUCUUGUUUUGCUAAUUUUGUAUAUUGUUAUAAGAAAUGAGAAGAUUGAUAGUGUAUUAUGUGUUCUUGUUUGGCUAAUUUGUAUAUUGUUAUCAAGAAAUGAAGCGAUUGUAGUGUUAUUAGUGUUCUUGUUUUGCUAAUUUUGUAUAUUUUCAAGAAAUGAGAGAUAUGAUUGAUAUUUUAGGUUAGUGUUUGCUAAGAUUGGUCUAGAGUAUAAUGGAAUUGAUAUUAGUUCUGUUCUUGUUUGCUAAAUUUGUAUAUUGUUAUCAAGAAAUGAGAGAUUGAUAGUGUUAUUAGUGUUCUUGUUUUGCUAAAUUUUGUAUAUUGUUAUCAAGAAAUGAGAAGAUUGAUAGUGUUAUUAGUGUUUGUGUUUGCUAAAUUUUGUAUAUUGUUAUCAAAAAUGAGAAGAUUGAUAGUGUUCUUGUUUUGCUAAAUUUUGUAUAUGUUAUCAAGAAAUGAGAAGAUUGAAGUGUUAUUAGUGUUCUUGUUUUGCUAAAUUUUGUAUAUUGUUAUCAAGAAAUGAGAAGAUUGAUAGUGUUAUUAGUGUUGUUUUUGCUAAAUUUUGUAUAUUGUUAUAAGAAAUGAGAAGAUUGAUAGUUGUUAUAGUGUUCUUGUUUGCUAAAUUUUGUAUUAGUUAUCAAGAAAUGAGAAGAUUGAUAGUGUAUUAGUGUCUUGUUUUGCUAAAUUUGUAUAUUGUUAACAAAUGAGAAGAUGAUAGUGUUAUUAGUGUUCUUGUUUUUUUUUAAAUUUUGUAUAUUGUUAUCAAGAAAUGAGAAGAUUGAUAGUGUUAUUAGUGUUCUUUUUUGCUAAAUUUUGUAUAUUGUUAUAAGAAAUGAGAAGAUUGAUAGUGUAUAGUGUUCUUGUUUGCUAAAUUUGUAUAUUGUUAUCAAGAAAUGAGAAGAUUGAUAGUGUUAUUUAGUGUUCUUGUUUUCUAAAUUUUGUAUAUUGUUAUCAAGAAAUGAGAGAUUGAUAGUGUUAUUAGUGUUUUUGUUUUGCUAAUUUUGUAUAUUGUUAUCAAGAAAUGAGAAGAUGAUAGUGUUAUAGUGUUCUUGUUUUUGCUAAAUUUUGUAUAUUGUUAUCAAAGAAUGAGAGAUUGAUAGUGUUUUUUCGUCUUAUUGUUCAUUUAUAGAGAUGUUAUGAUCGUAGUUAUUUAAUUGGUUCUCUUGUUUUGAAAUUUGUAUAUUGUUAUCAAGAAAUGAGAGAUUUGAUAGUGUUAUUAGUGUUCUUGUUUUGAAAUUUUCUAUAUUGUUAUAAAAAUAAGGAUGAUUUAGUAUAUUCGUGUAUAUGUUUGCUAUUAUAUUGUAUAUUGUUAUCAAGAAAUGGAAGAUUGAUAGUGUUAUUAGUGUUCUUGUUUUUCUAAUUUUUAUAUUGUUAUCAAGAUAAAUAGUAGAUUGAUAGUGUUAUAUAGUGUUCUUGUUUUGCUAAAUUUUUAUAUUGUUAUUAAGAAAUGAGAAAGAUCUGAGUUAUAGUUUCUUGUUCUUUGCUAAAUUUGUAUAUUGUUAUCAAGAAUGAGAGAUUGAUAGUGUAUUAGUGUUCUUGUUUUGCUAAAUUUGUAUAUUGUUAUAAAAUGAGAAGAUUGAUAGUUUUUGUUUGCAAUUGAUGGAUAGUGAAUAUAUUUUUAGUGUCUUAUAUAUUUGUUUUGUAAUUGUUAUCAAGAAAUGAGAAGAUUGAGUGUUAUUAGUGUUCUUGUUUUGCUAAAUUUUGUAUAUUGUUAUUCAAAAAUGAGAAGAUUGAUGUUAUGUUCUUUGUUUUGCUAAAUUUGUAUAUUGUUAUCAAGAAAUGAGAAGAUUGAAGUGUUAUUAGUGUUCUUGUUUUGCUAAAAUUUUGUAUAUUGUUAUCAAGAAAUGAGAAGAUUGAUAGUGUUAUUAGUGUUCUUGUUUGCCCAAAUUUGUGUAUAUUGUUAUUCAAGUAAAAGAGAGAUUGAUAGUUUUAUUAGUGUUCUUGUUUUGCUAAAUUUUGUAUAUUUUAUCAAGAAAUGAGAAGAUGAUAGUGUUAUUAGUGUUCUUGUUUUGCUAAAUUUUGUAUAUUGUUAUCAAGAAAUGAGAGAUGAUUAGUGUUAUUAGUGUUCUUGUUUUGUUUUUAAUUUUGUAUAUUGUUAUCAAGAAAUGAGAAGAUUGAUAGUGUUAUUAGUGUUCUUUUUUGCUAAAUUUGUAUAUUGUUAUUAAGAAAUGAGAAGAUUGAUAGUGUUAUUAGUGUUCUUGUUUUGCAAAUUUUGUAUAUUGUUAUCAAGAAAAUGAGAAGAUUGAUAGUGUUAUUGUUCUUGUUUUUGCUAAAUUUUGUAUAUUGUUACAAGAAAUGAGAAGAUUGAUAGUGUUAUUGUGUUUUGUUUUGCCUAAAUUUGUAUAUUGUUAUCAAGAAUGAGAAGAUUGAUAGUGUUAUUAGUGUUCUUGUUUUGCUAAAUUUUGUAUAUUGUUAUCAAGAAAUGAGAAGAUUGAUAGUGUUAUUAUGUGCGGUUUUCCUAAUUUUUUAUAUUUGUUAUCAAGAAAUGGAGUUGAUAGUGUUAUUAGUGUUCUUUUUUGAAAUUUUGUAUUUGUUAUCAAGAAAUGAGAAGAUUGAUAGUGUUAUUUUUCUGUUGUGUUUGCUAAAUUUUCGUAUUUGUUUAUAAGAAAUGAGAAAGAUUAUAGUGUUAUUAGUGUUCUUGUUUUGCUAAAUUUUAGUAAUUGUUAUUCAGAAAAUGAGAAGAUGAUAGUGUUAUUAGUGUUCUUGUUUUUCUAAAUUUUGUUAUAUGUUAUCAAGAAAUGAGAAGAUUGAUAGUGUUAUUAGUGUUCUUGUUUUGCUAUAUUUUGUAUAUUGUUAUCAAGAAUGAGAGUUAGUAGUGUAUUAGUUUUUCUUGUUGAUUUGUAUUAUUUUAUCAAGAAAAUGAGAAGAUUGAUAGUGUUUUAGUGUUCCUUGUUUUGCUAAAUUUGUAUAUUGUUAUCAAGAAAUGAGAAGAUGAUAGUGUUAUUAGUGUUCUUGUUUUUUUAAAUUUUGUAUAUUGUUAUAAGAAAUGAGAAGAUUGAAGUGUUAUUAGUGUUUCUUUUUUGCUAAAUUUUUAUUUUGUUAUUAAGAAAUGAGAAGAUUGAUAGUGUUAUUAGUGUUCUUGUUUUGCUAAAUUUUGUAUAUUGUUAUCAAGAAAUGAGAAGAUGAUAGUUUAUUAGUGUUCUUGUUUGCUAAAUUUUGUAUAUUGUUAUCAAGAAAUGAAGAUUGAUAGUGUUAUUAGUGUUCUUGUUUUGCUAAAUUUUGUAUAUUUUAUCAAGAAAUGAGAGAUUGAUAGUUAUUUAGUGUUCUUGUUUUGCUAAUUUUGUAUAUUGUUAAUGAAGAAUGAGAAGAUUGAUAGUGUUAUUAGUGUUCUUGUUUUGCUAAUUUUGUAUAUUGUUAUCAAGAAUGAGAGAUUGAUAGUGUUAUUAGUUGUUCUUGUUUUGCUAAAUUUUGUAUAUUGGUUUAUCAAAAUGAGAAGAUUGAUAGUGUUCUUGUUUUGCUAAAUUUUGUAUAUUGUUAUCAAGAAAUGAGAAAUUGAUAGUGUUAUUAGUGUUCUUGUUUGCUAAAUUUUGUAUAUUGUUAUCAAGAAAUGAGAAGAUUGAUAGUGUUAUUAGUGUUCUUGUUUUGUCUUGAAGUGUUCUUGUUUUGCUAAAUUUUGUAUAUUGUUAUCAAGAAAUAAGAAGAUUGAUAGUGUUAUUAGUGUUCUUGUUUUGCUAAAUUUUGUAUAUUGUUGUCAAGAAAUGAGAAGAUUGAUAAUGUUGUUAGUGUUCUUGUUUUGCUAAAUUUUUUAUAUUGUUAUCAAGAAAUGAGAAGAUCGAUAGUGUUAUUAGUGUUCUUGUUUUGCUAAAUUUUGUAUAUUGCUAUAAAAAAUUAGAAGAUCGAUAAUGUUAUUAGUGUUCUUGUUUUGCUAAAUUUUGUAUAUUGUUAUCAAGAAAUGAAAAGAUUGAUAAUGUUAUUAGUGUUCUUGUUUUACUAAAUUUAGUAUAUUGUUAUCAAGAAAUGAGAAGAUUGAUAGUGUUAUUAGUGUUCUUGUUUUGCUAAAUUUUGUAUAUUGUUAUCAAGAAAUGAGAAGAUUGAUAGUCUUAUUAGUGUUCUUGUUUCGCUAAUUUUGUAUAUUCUUAUCAAGAAAUUAGAAGAUUGAUAGUGUUAUUAGUGUUCUUGUUUUGCUAAAU